Long non-coding RNA from Sinocyclocheilus anshuiensis, 262 nucleotides. RefSeq lists it as uncharacterized. The transcript has 3 exons. The record is from RefSeq and is a predicted model, not a curated record. Lineage: Eukaryota; Metazoa; Chordata; Actinopteri; Cypriniformes; Cyprinidae.
UGCUAAGGACGCGCUUUGUGCUGUGAAACGCUGGAGAUGCGCUCGAAUAAACCGCACGACGCUCGCACUAAAGCGCCGCCUGCGCGAUUCCUGCCGCCUGCGGGUCACAGCUAUCAGCAGCAUCUGGCAGCAGUGCGGGCUUUACUGCCCGACAGACGGAGCAAACCCAUCCUCAACGCGUCGGAGCUUGAUCUGAAGUUAUCAAAUGACCUGCAGAAAGCACUGAGUGUGGACUCAUUGAAACCAAACCCGUCCAAAACCG